Molecule: long non-coding RNA, 910 nt
Filed under: Lynx pardinus (Iberian lynx)
Lineage: Eukaryota; Metazoa; Chordata; Mammalia; Carnivora; Felidae
Source: RNAcentral
AGGUAGCAAAAAGUUAUUUGAUAGUUUGAUGAUUUCAGAAGAUUCCAUGAUGCUCACCCCCAGGUAAAUUAUCUUUGUGAUGCUAACAAGGCAGGAACAAAGGCAAUGUUUGAUUUAGGCUCAGCACGUGGAGCGUACUGCCAAGGGGAACGAAAUAGUUGCCAUGAGGGUACAUCAGCUACUGGUCAGUCUUUCUCUUUCUGAAUUCUACUGGAAAGUCUGGCUUCCUGGAUGAAAAGCAACUGAGGCAUGACCCUGUCCUCUGUGCGCAGGCCAAGCAUGGGAGACAAUAAGGAUACCGAUGACUAAAAGACAGCAUGGUAAAUUGGAUAGAGGGAUAUAGAGAGGGUUAUGGGAGUCCAGAGAGAGGGCAUCCAAAUGAAGCUGGGUUAAGCCAUCAGGGAAGACUUCCUGGAGGAUGCAGUGCUUGACCUAAGUUUAGAUACAGAAGAAAGGAAAAGAUUUCGAACACCAUCACAGUCCAGGUCAGGAAAGGGUGUGCGGGGAAAUUUAGAAAGGGAACUUUUCUAAGAUCAAGUUAUUUUACAAAGAAGCAGCACUGGGAAAUCAAGGGAAUUUAAUUACAACUGCCUCACGAGCAGGAUUUGAAAAGGAGUGGGAAGCUCAUGGAAACCUUAAUUGCUGAGAAAAGUUAAGAGGAGAAAUAUGACAGAAGUAAUAGGUCUGUAUGUAUGUCAUGUCUGAUUUGUCAUUUUUCUAGACAGGCACUCUGCCUCCUGCCUUCUAGGUUAGAGGAAAAAAAGAUCCUUCGGCUGCUAAGGUGAAGAUAGCAUUUAGGAUGCAGAAAUGGGACUUGGAAGUACUCCUGAUUCCUUUUAGGGAAGAAAAGGUCCAUCUCGGCUUACCUCAUUGCUAAGAAGAAUAAUAAGCAUUUGUUCAGCGAUAAUAA